This 328-nucleotide unclassified non-coding RNA is filed under the name soil metagenome. RNAcentral's name for it is "partial contains 5.8S ribosomal RNA, internal transcribed spacer 2, and large subunit ribosomal RNA". The stretch from base 1 to 120 matches the Rfam family "5.8S ribosomal RNA", at positions 35 to 154 of the family's 154-position model. The record is from RNAcentral.
GAUGAAGAACAUAGCGAAAUGCGAUAAGUAAUGUGAAUUGCAGAAUUCAGUGAAUCAUCGAAUCUUUGAACGCACAUUGCGCCCCUUGGUAUUCCGAGGGGCAUGCCUGUUCGAGCGUCAUUAUAACCCCUCAAGCUCAGCUUGGUGUUGGGGCCUGCUGCACUGGCAGCCCUUAAAAUCAGUGGCGGCGCCAUCUGGCUCUAAGCGUAGUAAUUCUUCUCGCUAUGGAGUCCUGGUGGAUGCUUGCCAUCAACCCCCAAUUUUUCUAUGGUUGACCUCGGAUCAGGUAGGGAUACCCGCUGAACUUAAGCAUAUCAAUAAGGGAGGA